UCCACCUCCACAAUUGCUCCUCUAUGUCCGCUCCUGCUGCCGUGCUACAACCGUUUGGGGCGGUGUAGAGAACGCAACCAACAGGCGACCACCGAAUUGGCUGCGAGUUGUUCCUUUUUUGGGAAAUGCAGAGAGCCGCAGCGAACAACGUUUUGGCGCUUUUUCCAGUUGGUCGAGCUGCGGCUAGGUUUCCGCUACAAAUGCGAAGCAUUACACGGUGGCAAAUUUUUGACGCACUUCAUAGAAAAACGCUCCAAAUUCCAGGUUCGGAAUCAUUAAGCAGUAAUUAAUUUUUAUUGAUUAUCUUAUUUCUAUCGAAAAGUCUCGUGCUUUCUAUCGAGAAAUUGCUUAAUAUCAAUAUCAAUUGAGGUUGUCGGCAAUAAGGCAAGAAGUUGGAGCAUUUUGAUGGAAAUAAAGAUGCGAAUAGUCUUUCAUAGCUACCUAAA
Long non-coding RNA from Anopheles gambiae (African malaria mosquito), 446 nucleotides. RefSeq lists it as uncharacterized. NCBI's taxonomy places the organism in Eukaryota, Metazoa, Arthropoda, Insecta, Diptera, Culicidae. The transcript has 2 exons. The record is from RefSeq and is a predicted model, not a curated record.